RNAcentral lists this ribosomal RNA (408 nucleotides) under uncultured bacterium. RNAcentral describes it as "partial 16S ribosomal RNA". It matches the Rfam family "Bacterial small subunit ribosomal RNA", at positions 29 to 526 of the family's 1533-position model. The record is from RNAcentral.
AGUGAACGCUGGCGGCGUGCCUAAUACAUGCAAGUCGAACGGAGUGGCGCACGGGUGAGUCAUAUAUAGCUAAUUUGCCCCUUGCUGGAGGACAACAGUUAGAAAUGACUGCUAAUACCCCAUAGCAAGGGAUGAGACUAUAUCGUAUCAGCUAGUCGGUGGGGUAACGGCCUACCGAGGCUAUGACGCGUAACUGGUCUGAGAGGAUGAUCAGUCACAUUUGAACUGAGACACGGUCCAAACUCCUACGGGAGGCAGCAGUAGCGAAUAUUGCGCAAUGGGGGAAUCCCUGACGCAGCAACGCCGCGUGGAGGAUGACACUUUUCGGGGCGUAGAAUCCUUUUGAUAGGGGAGCGGUACCUAACGAAUAAGCACCGGCUAACUCCGUGCCAGCAGCCGCGGUAAUUC